AUGGAGGUCCCGUCCCAGAUGCUCUUUGGACUCCUCAUGCUUUGUGUCCCAGGUUCCAGGGGAGAAGUCGUGUUGACCCAGUCUCCAGCCUCAGUGUCUGUGAGCCCAGGAGAGAGAGUCACCAUCAGCUGCCAGGCCAGUGAGAGUGUCAAAUACAGUGAUGGAAAGACCUAUCUGAACUGGUUCCAGCAGAAACCUGGACAGUCUCCUCGGCGAAUCAUUUACCAGGUUUCCAAGCUAGACUCAGGAAUCCCUGCCAGGUUCAGUGGCAGUGGUGCUGACAGGGAUUUCACCCUCACAAUCAGCUGUGUCAGUGCUGAAGAUGGGGCAGAUUACUACUGUUUUCAAGGAUCUUUAUAUCCUCUCACAGUGCUACAGGCCAGAACAAAAACCUCCCCAGGGCUGGGCUGGCUGGGCAGGGAGGCUCAGCUGUCUCCUGUGCUGCCUCUCCUCCAGCAGCUGCUGGGGUGCCUGCUCCCAUUCAGGCUCUCUGGGGACAAUACAAGGAAAGGGGCUCAGGCUCCCAGAGGAAAUAACAUCUUCUGA
Monodelphis domestica (gray short-tailed opossum) is the source of this 546-nucleotide non-coding RNA. The record is from the annotation of a RefSeq genome assembly. NCBI's taxonomy places the organism in Eukaryota, Metazoa, Chordata, Mammalia, Didelphimorphia, Didelphidae.